UGAGAAUCGACAUGUGUGGUGGUAGU
RNAcentral lists this non-coding RNA (26 nucleotides) under Rattus norvegicus (Norway rat). Lineage: Eukaryota; Metazoa; Chordata; Mammalia; Rodentia; Muridae. The record is from RNAcentral.